UACGGGGGGGGCAAGCGUUGUUCGGAAUUACUGGGCGUAAAGGGCUCGUAGGUGGCCAACUAAGUCAGACGUGAAAUCCCCAGGCUUAACCUGGGAACUGCGUCUGAUACUGGAUGGCUUGAAUUCGGGAGAGGGAUGCAGAAUUCCAGGUGUAGCGGUGAAAUGCGUAGAUAUUGGGAAGAACACCGGUGGCGAAGGCGGCUAUCUGGCCCGUAAUUGACGCUGAGGCGCGAAAGCGUGGGGAGCAAACAGG
Molecule: ribosomal RNA, 253 nt
Filed under: uncultured bacterium
Lineage: Bacteria
Description: partial 16S ribosomal RNA
Rfam family: Bacterial small subunit ribosomal RNA
Source: RNAcentral